UCUCCACCCGAGACUCAGUGAAAUCGAAAUCGCAGUGAAGAUGCUGUGUACCCGCGGCUAGACGGAAAGACCCCGUGAACCUUUACUAUAGCUUCACAGUGAACUUUGAGCAUGUUUGUGUAGGAUAGCUGGGAGGCUUUGAAGUGGGAACGCCAGUUCUCAUGGAGCCAACCUUGAAAUACCAGCCUGACAUGUUUGAGGUUCUAACUUGGACCCCUUAUCGGGGUUGAGGACACUGUGUGGUGGGUAGUUUGACUGGG
This 260-nucleotide ribosomal RNA is filed under the name Skeletonema marinoi. Its description in RNAcentral is "partial Bacterial large subunit ribosomal RNA". It matches the Rfam family "Bacterial large subunit ribosomal RNA", at positions 2019 to 2278 of the family's 2925-position model. The record is from RNAcentral. Lineage: Eukaryota; Bacillariophyta; Thalassiosirophyceae; Thalassiosirales; Thalassiosiraceae.